Non-coding RNA from Podarcis lilfordi (Lilford's wall lizard), 184 nucleotides. NCBI's taxonomy places the organism in Eukaryota, Metazoa, Chordata, Lepidosauria, Squamata, Lacertidae. The record is from the annotation of a GenBank genome assembly.
CUGGCAGCCCUUGAGACUGAAGUCUUCUGUUUACCUGCAGAACAGAUACAGCACAGGCAGUGGCAGUGCAAGAUUUUUUACAUUCACACAUCCCUGCCAUUUUGCCUCACCCCUGACCUGAAGGGGCAACCUUAUAGGUGAGAGGAUAGCCCAGUCUCUGUGUCCUUUUGAGCAUUUGGCCUAC